AGAUACAAAAGUUGGCUAAAGAGAGAUAUACUCUUGAAGAUGGGUCUUUUCCUCUCCCCCACAGGUGUCAUACUAACACAAUGGCCUUGCUAUAAAAGUUGAGUAAAGGGAACUGAUGUCCUAUAGUUACUCAUCAACAUAUCCAAUGUAAAAUAAAUAAGUUCAAAAAAAUUUCAAAGCUCUAAAAAAUGCAGUUGUACAAGGUUACAAAAUGUGCUUGUUUGCAGGAUCCUGAAAGCAAUUUCCUGAUCGCAAAACUCAAGCCUUCUGAUAACAUGGAUAGAUGGCAACAAAGCGUCUACAUUUUUAGCAGAUGGCCGCUGUACUCACCACACCACCACAGAUUUCCAUGAGUCACACGUAAGAAAACCAGUAAGUUACAAUGAUUUCAUUCACUUUAUCAUGCCCACAAAAACACUCUUGCUGUAUUGUUUUCAAAGGAAACUGCUUGGAAAAUAGAUGUUGCCUUAAACUCUAAAUUCAAGUGCAAAAUGUAAUAUUUUAUUACACCAUAAACGAAAUGUAGAUGUACAAAAAUAGAGAAGUAACAAAAAAGUAGAACCAAGAAAGUUCAUGUUCUGGUAACUACAGAUUGGCUCCUGAAUUAAGUUGUAUGGUGUCCCCAACAAGAUAAAUCCUAAUCCCCAGAACCGGCAAGAAUGACCUUAUAGUGAAAAGGGCCUCUACACGUGGAAGUUAAGGAUUUGGGGGUGAAGAGAUAAUCCUGUGUUAUCUGGGUGUGUCCGAAGUCUAAUCACAAUUGUCUGUAUCUGAGAUAGGAUUCGUCAGAGACGGAAGAGAAGGAAUGCCAUGACGACACAGGCAAUUAUGAGAGGCCUGAGGUCACCCAUCCAGGGAUAACACGAAGUGCCAGGAUCGCCGCUAAAAGCUGGAAGAGAUAAGGGCCAGGUAUUUAG
RNAcentral lists this long non-coding RNA (917 nucleotides) under Fukomys damarensis (Damara mole-rat). RNAcentral's name for it is "lncRNA (ENSFDAG00000029539.1)". The record is from RNAcentral. Lineage: Eukaryota; Metazoa; Chordata; Mammalia; Rodentia; Bathyergidae.